Molecule: long non-coding RNA, 898 nt
Organism: Coregonus clupeaformis (lake whitefish)
Lineage: Eukaryota; Metazoa; Chordata; Actinopteri; Salmoniformes; Salmonidae
Exons: 2
Source: RefSeq, a predicted model, not a curated record
UUUACACCUCUGGGAAUUAUUCAAAUAUUUAAGAAGUGUUUCACUUCAACCAUUGAGAUAACAAAAUUCUUGUGACAUUCUCGUGACACUAUACCUGACUCAUUCCCUUUACCUCGCAUGGACGACUGUAUAGACACCAUUGGAUCGGCUGCUUAUGUUACUAAGCUUGAAUUGUUAAAAGGUUAUUGGCAGGUGCCUUUAACCCCUCGUGCCUCUGAGGUGUCUGCUUUUGUAACCCCUGACAGUUUCUGCCAGUACACAGUAAUGGCUUUUGGAAUGAGGAACGCCCCGGCCACGUUUCAACGUUUGACUGGUUGUUCUGUUUGUGGGUUCUGGUCAUUACAGGUGUGCUGAGUUGCGGCUGACGAUGGUGGGCGUGGCUUCGGUCCGGAGUCCUGGCAGCUGUGGCUGAUUGACUAGAGUAUAAACUGUUUCCCGUGUGAGCUCGAGAGGAAGAGGGGGUACUUUUUGUUUGGCUGAGGAUUUGGUUAUUGGUUGGUUUAAUUUAUAUUUGUUUGUGUUCCAGCCUGUCCUCCUGCUUUAUUCCACCCUACCUGGGUCCUGGAGAAGGGAAAGGUAGUUCUGCCCAUGGGUGUACAUUCACACGUAGAUAACCCACUGUUUUACACGCCAUGUUAGCUGGGCGGGUGUCACCCCUGUAUUUGUGGUAGCAGGUAGGAAAGCUGGUUAAGGAUUAAAGUGUGAUAGGAAGGAUUAGGUGUGUAGAAGAGAAGGGACCUUUUGUUUAUUUUCAUUACUUGGACCCGAUCCCAAACAUUCCCUUCUCUUACCUUCCCUGGUUUGUUUGAUUGGUUUUUAUUUUAUUUACUGUUUCUUUAUGGGUGUUGUAUAAUUCUGUUUAAUUACUUUACUAAACGUCCCAGAGGGCUAACAUUGA